RNAcentral lists this ribosomal RNA (503 nucleotides) under uncultured bacterium. RNAcentral describes it as "partial 16S ribosomal RNA". It matches the Rfam family "Bacterial small subunit ribosomal RNA", at positions 30 to 523 of the family's 1533-position model. The record is from RNAcentral.
AUUGAACGCUGGCGGCAGGCUUAACACAUGCAAGUCGAGCGGGGUGAUGGUGCUUGCACUAUCACUUAGCGGCGGACGGGUGAGUAAUGCUUAGGAAUCUGCCUAUUAGUGGGGGACAACAUCUCGAAAGGGAUGCUAAUACCGCAUACGCCCUACGGGAGAAAGCAGGGGCUCACUUGUGACCUUGCGCUAAUAGAUGAGCCUAAGUCGGAUUAGCAAGUUGGUGGGGUAAAGGCCUACCAAGGCGACGAUCUGUAGCGGGUGUGAGAGGAUGAUCCGCCACACUGGGACUGAGACACGGCCCAGACUCCUACGGGAGGCAGCAGUGGGGAAUAUUGGACAAUGGGGGGAACCCUGAUCCAGCCAUGCCGCGUGUGUGAAGAAGGCCUUAUGGUUGUAAAGCACUUUAAGCGAGGAGGAGGCUCUUUUGGUUAAUACCCAAGAUGAGUGGACGUUACGCGCAGAAUAAGCACCGGCUAACUCUGUGCCAGCCGCCGCCGUAA